GGCCCGAUCGCCAAGUCUGGGAAGGCGCUAGACUGAAGAUCUAGUAUUUCGCCGGUUCAAAUCCGGCUCGGGCCACCA
RNAcentral lists this transfer RNA (78 nucleotides) under archaeon. RNAcentral's name for it is "tRNA-Phe". It matches the Rfam family "tRNA". Rfam says of the family: Transfer RNA (tRNA) molecules are approximately 80 nucleotides in length. The record is from RNAcentral.